RNAcentral lists this long non-coding RNA (3018 nucleotides) under Medicago truncatula (barrel medic). RNAcentral describes it as "long non-coding RNA (MTRU_LNC008427)". Lineage: Eukaryota; Viridiplantae; Streptophyta; Magnoliopsida; Fabales; Fabaceae. The record is from RNAcentral.
CCAAAUUCAGUUGCUUCUAAAUUGCCGUUGUGGGAGAGUAAGGUAUCGCUUGAUCCGACUUUUUUCCAACUUCUCUACAUUUUUAAGGAGAAGUUAGGUCAAACACACUAUCAAUUAUUUUAAUUUCAUUAUUGUUUAAUCAUCACAACCUCACAAAUAUUUUAAUUUACACUGUCAUUUAAUGAUACCAAAUACUAUUAUUUCCUUUCUCCAACCUCGCAAAUAUUUACAUACACACAUUAACGUAUAGAGUAAUAUUUUAUGUUCGUCUGUCUGUGUUUUUGUUACGUUGAUGCAUAUAAUUUUUUUUAGUGUUGCUUGGUUGAGUGCUACCUCACCGAUUUUUUUUAACUAUUUUCCAAUUUUUCCUCCCAAAUUCAGUUGCUUCUACACUGCCAUUGUGGGAGAUUAAGAUACCGUUUGACCCGGUUUUUUUUUUUACUUCUCUACAUUUUUAAAAAGAAGUUAGGUCAAACACAAUAUCAAUUAAAUACUUACUAGAAAGGGAACAUUUUUUAAUGCAUAGAAUUGGAUGGAAUGAGCUUUGGCCAAAAGUUGUUGAAUGCUACUUUAAAAAACUACUUCUCGAUAAUAUAUUUCACAAGCACCUCUUUUCAACUCACGAUGGGAACCUUUUCUUUUAUUUUUUAAUAUUAUAUUUCAAUAUAUUUUCUUUUCAUUUAACUUUAUUUUAUUUUAUUUUUUUAACAGUUCCAUUUAAUUUUAUUUUAUUUUUUUCAAAAGAUUUUUAUUAUCUUUUUAUCACUUAUAUAUUUAAUUUCAAUAUUAUUUAAUCAUCACAACCUCACAUAUAUUUUUAUUCACGCUGUCAUUUAAUGAUACCAAAUAUUUUUAUUUCCUUUCUUCAACCUCACGAAUAUAAACACACACACAUUAACGUUUAAAGUAAUAUUUUAUGUCCAUCUGUCUGUUUUUUGUUACGCUAAUGCAUAUAAUUUUUUUUAGUAUUGCUUGGUUGAGUGCUACCUCACCAAAUUUUAUUAACUAUUUUCCAAUUUUCAUAUUUUUAAAAACUUCUGACAAUUUUCCAAUUUUUUUAUUUUUAACUAUUUUCUAAUUUUUUUCUCACAAAUUCAGUUGCUUCUACACUGCAGUUGUGGGAGAUUAAGAUACCGUUUGACCCUUUUUUUUUUUCUUCAACUUCUCUACAUUUUUAAGAAGUUAGGCCAAGUACAAUAUCAAUUAAGUACUUACUAAAAAAUGUACUUUUUUUAAGGCAUAAAAUUGAAUUGAUGAGCUUUGGCCAAAAGUUGUUGAAUGCUACUUCAAAAAACUAUUUCUCGACAAUGUAUUUCACAAUCAUCUCUCUUCAAUUCACGUUGGGAACCUUUUCUUUUAUUUUCAUAUAUUAUAUUUCAAUAUCUUUUUUUCUUCCAUUUAAUUUUUUUUUAGCCGUUCCAUUUAAUUUUUUAAAGGAGGUUCCAUUUAAUUUUAUUACCUUUUUUCAAAGAUAUUUUAUUAUCUUUUUAUCACUUAUAUGUUUAAUUUAAAUAUCGUUUAAUAAUAACAACCUCACAAAUAUUUUUAUUUACGCUAUCAUUUAAUGAUACAAAAUAUUUUUAUUUUCUUUCUUCAACCUCGCAAAUAUACAAACACACAUAUUAGUGUUUAGAGUAAUACUUUUUGUGUGUCUGUUUUUUUGUUACGCUAAUGCGUAUAAUUUUUAUAAAAUUUUGAUUUUAAUUAAAAGUAAAAUUGUAGAUGUCUUUUCUUCAAAAAAGGUAUAGAUGCCUAAAAAAAUUAUGCUUAUGUUAUAUAUAUAUAUAUAUAUAUAUAUAUAUAUACACACACACACACAUAAAAGGUAUAGAUGCCUAAAAAAAUUAUACUUAUCUUUUAAAUAUAUAUUGCACCUUUAUAUCGUAACAAACUAUACAUAUCUUUUUCUUAUUCAAAAAAACUAAAUAUUGCUAAAUAGAAAAGGUAUUAUUUUCUAUUUUGUCAACAUCAGAUGAUAGUAUUUUGUAUAAGUUUGAUAAUGACCCGAAAAAUAUCUUUCCUUAUGUAGUGGGAAUAUAGUUGAUGCAACACUAUGGGAAAAAUACUCCGUAGCUUUAUCAUUUACCAUCUAUUUACCUUGAGUUCCUUGCUUCCAUUUUGUAGUCAAUGGCAACCCAAAUAUAUGUAACAAUUGGUCAGGUUCGAGGUUGCUCAUCAACCUACAUCAUCCGGUUGUUGAGAAGUUUAAGACUUAGUAAGUUUGCAUUAUGAUUUCACAAUACAGUGUUAGAGUAACUUAUUAUUUCACAAUCCGAUUUGAUUGUUUUUUGACCAUGUUUCUUAAAUUGUUGUCAUGACUUUAACACUUCUCAAGCUCAGAGUCAAACUUCAGUUAAAACUUAAGUCAGAGUUCGACUUCUUCUCAACGUACUCGUACAACGAUUUUUCCAAACUGUCACAUGUUAGGCCAAUUGUUGAAUUUAUAAACUUAGUCAAUGUCUGCUUUUUUUAUGCACAAACAUGCUUUGAGUUUUUUUACGCACAAAUUAAAAAUACAUAUUGCAUUAUUCUUUAUUUCAUGUGCAUAAUUUGUGUUAGGAAACAUAUUGCAUCACUAUUUGGAAAAUAACUAAAUUCAAUCAUAACCAGUUUGGAUUGUAUUAUGAGAGUUGCACCAAAUGUUCGAAGACAUCAAUGUCAAAUGGUGCUGGCUAUAUAUGCACAUGCGGAAGUGAUGCUUAAUUUCCAUUUGUUUCAACAAUGUUAAUUGGUCAACGGGGUGCAUAUAAUGUACAUGCAUGCAUUUAUCUAGACUUUAUAGGAAGAUAAUAGGAUGAUAAAUUAGAAGUCAUGUUACAUUUUCUUUAGCUUAAAAUUAGUUAUGCUACCUUUAUUUUAUAAAUUAUAUGUAACUAUAUUCGCAUACAUCUUAUCCAUGUAAAUAUGCAUUAGACUAAUAUUGCAGUUAUUUUCCUGUUUAGCAUUUCCCAAACGAGGUGUCAAGAACAAUUCUGAAAGGAAAGCACAAAACAAUCACUCUCAUUAAUGACCAGACAC